RNAcentral lists this ribosomal RNA (235 nucleotides) under uncultured bacterium. RNAcentral's name for it is "partial 16S ribosomal RNA". It matches the Rfam family "Bacterial small subunit ribosomal RNA", at positions 102 to 334 of the family's 1533-position model. The record is from RNAcentral.
CACGGGUGAGUAACACGUAUGCAAUCCACCUGUAACAGGGGAUAACCCGGAGAAAUCCGGACUAAUACCCAUAAUAUGGGCGCUCCGCAUGGAGAGUCCAUUAAAGAGAGCAAUCUUGGUUACAGACGAGCAUGCGCUCCAUUAGCCAGUUGGCGGGGUAACGGCCCACCAAGGCGACGAUGGAUAGGGGUUCUGAGAGGAAGGUCCCCCACAUUGGAACUGAGACACGGUCCAA